RNAcentral lists this long non-coding RNA (3081 nucleotides) under Bemisia tabaci. Its description in RNAcentral is "lncRNA ENSSSA2NGG012810". The record is from RNAcentral. Lineage: Eukaryota; Metazoa; Arthropoda; Insecta; Hemiptera; Aleyrodidae.
UUAAAUGUGGAAUUGAGACAUCUACCUGUUUACGUGGUUUUAAUGUUUAUCACCCUAGUGCUACCGUAGCACCUGCGCAAUAUUUACCCCCGUGCUCGGCGCAAUCCCAGCUCCUGUGAGGGAGAGUCGCCCUGGCCCUCCCUCCCCCUUUCGUGCAGAUCUUCAAAGGAUCAAAGGUCAACGCCAGUGAACGGUUUCCACAAACGGAGCUCUAUCGACUCUUCACACAGUAGCUCGUUUCGUUCUGUGUUCUUGGGUGAAUUAUGACGUCGCCGAACCUCGAAACAAUUGAUGUAAUUUAAACGCCUAAGCGGCCGUAAGAUUAGGUCGAGGUUCUUCAAGUGGUUUACAUUUCCCUCAGUGAUGAUUACUACAAGGGGAUGUUUUUUUCACGUCGUAUAACUUCCCUCCAGCUCAUAAUUUUGUUUGUUUGCAUAUUAGCACUACUUAUUGGCAAGCAAAUGAAGGAUUUAUAUGAUAAGCAUCAGCAAAUUAUACGUCUAGAAGACUACAAUCACUUUUUGGAUGAAAUGGCUGUAACAAUGAAGAGCUUCGAGAAACGGCUUGUCAAUCAUUCUCACAAAAUUCGUGAAUUGAGCAAGUUUGUAAAAUCAGAGAAAAGUUCAGGAGUGAGGUGACGAAACAGAAAGGCAGUGACUUGCAAUGUAAUUCAAAUCAUCACUUUUCCCCUCUCUCAUGUCCCAGCUGGAUGCCUUAUUUUUCACUUCUUGUUUCUAUUUGUGUAAGCUCUUUCCCCCUGUGGUUGUCCUUCUUUUUCUAGUUGACUUAUUAUUUGACCAUUUUGUGAGUGAGGUUUCACGGUGAUAUGUACUUUUUUUUGUUAUUUUUAUUUCUUCAAAGAACAAAGUCAGAAAAAACGAAGAGUCCACGACGCUCUAACAAUCAAGAUUGUGUAAAUCAGCACAUCUGCAAGAAAGUUUGGCUAUUCGAUCUUAUUUUUUGUUAAACCUGACUCAAAAAUUGUCUUAAGCAUGAUUGUUUCUUCUCUUUUACUUGUUUUCCCUUGAUGGGUAAAAGAAGCCGUGAUCGUCCAGGAAAAAAGGAAGGAGGAAGAAGAAAUUGAAAUGUUACGGUUUCUAGUACCUAGUUUUUAAAAGCUAAGUCAGCAUUUGACAAUCAGGUGUUCAGCUCUUCUGAAGAUUUUAUAUAGGCGCCUUAAAGUAUAUCAUAUCAAUGAUAUACAUUUAUCCUGGUAUGGAAGACGAAGUAAAAAGGUUUCUUUUCUCAGGCAAUGCCUCUUUUAUUACCUAUUAAAGUUCUAAUGAUGCAAUGGAUAUUGUUGUGCCACCACCCUACCACUCUUAAAAAUAUUUCUUGAACAAUUAAUUUCAGCAUUUGUUGUAUGACUUAAUUCAGUUGUUAUUGUUUUUGUUGCUUUUUCUUCUUUUUGACAUGUUUUUCUUUCUUUCCAUUUGUAAAUCAUUUUUUGACACCCAUUUCAUUAUUUUUCUCAUGACAUCGCCUCUUUUUCAGUAGCCAUUUAAAUUAAAAGUUUACAAAUGAAAACAGGCUGUUGAACUUGUGCCAAAUUUUAAAAGUUUUAUUUCAGAAUUUGUUUGUAAAAGGUCCUCUACUUAAUUAAAUCCAUGGACAGACAUUAUUCCCCCUCAUCUUAUCCUAGCUUUUUAUUCAUAAGUUUAUUUGCAAGUUGCAGUUUCACAAGUUGAUUAAAGUGCAGUUAAGAAGGAUAUACACUAAAUAUGUGAAAGUUUAUCAUACAUAAAUUCAAGGUGUCAACAGAAACUUUGCAUCGUUUCAAUCUGUUAAGUUAUUCGGAAUCAGUAGUGUUAUUUACAGUAUGUAGCUGAAGGAACCGGUGAUAUUCUUUUAAAGCCUGCGUUUAAUUUUGUAAUGUCACCAGAAGUCUAAUUUUUUGCAAAACACGUGUUUCUCAAAAAAGCACUGUCCUCAAAACUUAGGGAAUACUUAAAAUUAAGUAAUUUUUGAGUGAGAUGGAAUGGAUUAUUAAAAGUGCUUACGUCCAAUGAGUUGGUUGACCUUCAGAGUGUAAUAAAAUAUUCGCUACUUUGUCUUUAGCAUAUUUUAGUUUUUAUGUAAAAAUGAAGAUGGUACGUACCUGUUGACACUGAAAAAUUUGGCCACCUACUUUGUGGCAAUAUGAUUUUUAGUGACCGUUUAAAACUCUGAAACCAAUACUCUAUCUCUUCUUCUGAGUUCUGCCCAAUUCAAAAGUCCAUUCAAUCUUAUUAAUUUUAAAUAUUUUUUAUCCUAUACUUAAGUAAUCAUCAUUUUUUUAUUAAUCAUAGUUUGAUUGAAAUAUGCAGGUCUAUCAUUGAACUUCUGUGUUUUUUGACUCGGUAGGACAAAACUUGGUGGAGUAGAAUUAUGUGUUUGGUUAACUUUAUCAGGUGCCUCUUUUGUCGUGUCUGCGUUUGGUGGAAUUGACAAUAAUCGAAAGGCACCUCCAAAAGCUUGUUGGCAAUUCCACCGAGUACAGGCACAACAAAGUUGGAAACUAAGAAACCCAAUUCAUCACCAUCCAUUCCACUUUAGUCUUUUCUUGACCAACUAACUAAUACAAAAUUAAAUAAGCAACUUCCUAGCCCUAUUUUUUCUUUUACAUAAUGGAUAACCUGUAUGGUUACAUAGUUGACAUGAUAAUCUCCUCGAUUUAAAUUAAAAUACCUCCUCUAUUUUUGUAAUUUUCUAUUGAAAUUUCAGUCAUGAUGACUAAAUGUAAAACUGGAGAACGACUUAUAGUCGAGCAGCCUUGUUAUCUAUCAAGCUUGUACAUAGAUUUAAAGAAUAGUUUUUCCAUGAAAAAAAACUAGUCAGUACAUUUAUAACUGCAGAAAUACCUAGUAUAAAAAUUAUUCUAACCACCAUCAAUCCAUUGCAAACAUGUAACCUAUAUCCUGCAAUGAAAGUUUAUCAUCUUUCUGAUACACCUAUUGCACUUACCUUCCUCAAGUGGUUGUCAAUUUUUUUAAAGUCUUGUUAUUUGUCCAUUCUGCAACCACAUGUCUAUCAAUACUCUGUCUUUGGAACAAUAUAAAAUGAUUGUUUGGUUAACUUUGUAGUUUUUCAAUAUCUACCAGC